GGGGAAUAUUGGACAAUGGGCGCAAGCCUGAUCCAGCCAUGCCGCGUGGGUGAAGAAGGCCUUCGGGUUGUAAAGCCCUUUUGUUGGGAAAGAAAACUUUCCGGUCAAUACCCGGAGAGAAUGACGGUACCCAAAGAAUAAGCACCGGCUAACUUCGUGCCAGCAGCCGCGGUAAUACGAAGGGUGCAAGCGUUACUCGGAAUUACUGGGCGUAAAGCGUGCGUAGGUGGUUUGUUAAGUCUGAUGUGAAAGCCCUGGGCUCAACCUGGGAAUUGCAUUGGAAACUGGCAGGCUAGAGUACGGUAGAGGGUAGUGGAAUUCCUGGUGUAGCAGUGAAAUGCGUAGAGAUCAGGAGGAACAUCCGUGGCGAAGGCGACUACCUGGACCAGUACUGACACUGAGGCACGAAAGCGUGGGGAGCAAAC
Molecule: ribosomal RNA, 425 nt
Filed under: uncultured bacterium
Lineage: Bacteria
Description: bacterial SSU rRNA
Rfam family: Bacterial small subunit ribosomal RNA
Source: RNAcentral